AGUGAACGCUGGCGGUAGGCCUAACACAUGCAAGUCGAACGGCAGCACAGUAAGAGCUUGCUCUUACGGGUGGCGAGUGGCGGACGGGUGAGGAAUACAUCGGAAUCUACUUUUUCGUGGGGGAUAACGUAGGGAAACUUACGCUAAUACCGCAUACGACCUACGGGUGAAAGCAGGGGAUCUUCGGACCUUGCGCGAUUGAAUGAGCCGAUGUCGGAUUAGCUAGUUGAGGGGGUAAAGGCCCACCAAGGCGACGAUCCGUAGCCGGUGUGAGAGGAUGAUCAGCCACACUGGAACGGAGACACGGUCCAGACUCCUACGGGGAGGAGCAGUGGGGAAUAUUGGACAAUGGGCGCAAGACUGAUCCAGCCAUACCGCGUGGGUGAAGAAGGCCUUCGGGUUGUAAAGCCCUUUUGUUGGGAAAGAAAAGCAGCAGGUUAAUACCCCGCUGUUCUGACGGUACCCAAAGAAUAAGCACCGGCUAACUUCGUG
RNAcentral lists this ribosomal RNA (492 nucleotides) under uncultured bacterium. RNAcentral's name for it is "partial 16S ribosomal RNA". It matches the Rfam family "Bacterial small subunit ribosomal RNA", at positions 29 to 507 of the family's 1533-position model. The record is from RNAcentral.